GACGAACGCUGGCGGCGUGCUUAACACAUGCAAGUCGAACGGAAAGGCCCUGCUUUUGUGGGGUGCUCGAGUGGCGAACGGGUGAGUAACACGUGAGUAACCUGCCCUUGACUUUGGGAUAACUUCAGGAAACUGGGGCUAAUACCGGAUAGGAGCUCCUGCUGCAUGGUGGGGGUUGGAAAGUUUCGGCGGUUGGGGAUGGACUCGCGGCAUAUCAGCUUGUUGGUGGGGUAGUGGCUUACCAAGGCUUUGAAGGGUAGCCGGCCUGGGAGGUUGGCCGGCCACAUUGGGCCUGAGAUACGGCCCAGACUCCUACGGGAGGCAGCAGUGGGGAAUAUUGCACAAUGGGCGGAAGCCUGAUGCAGCAGCGCCGCGUGCGGGAUGACGGCUUUCGGGUUGUAAACCGCUUUCGCCUGUGACGAAGCGUGAGUGACGGUAAUGAGUAAAGAAGCACCGGCUAACUACGUG
This 468-nucleotide ribosomal RNA is filed under the name uncultured bacterium. RNAcentral's name for it is "partial 16S ribosomal RNA". It matches the Rfam family "Bacterial small subunit ribosomal RNA", at positions 28 to 507 of the family's 1533-position model. The record is from RNAcentral.